AGCCUGAAUCAGUGUGUGUGUUAGUGGAAGCGUCUGGAAAGGCGUGCGAUACAGGGUGACAGCCCCGUACACAAAAAUGCACAUAUUGUGAGCUUGAUGAGUAGGGCGGGACACGUGGUAUCCUGUCUGAAUAUGGGGGGACCAUCCUCCAAGGCUAAAUACUCCUGACUGACCGAUAGUGAACCAGUACCGUGAGGGAAAGGCGAAAAGAACCCCGGCGAGGGGAGUGAAAAAGAACCUGAAACCGUGUACGUACAAGCAGUGGGAGCACGCUUAGGCGUGUGACUGCGUACCUUUUGUAUAAUGGGUCAGCGACUUAUAUUCUGUAGCAAGGUUAACCGAAUAGGGGAGCCGAAGGGAAACCGAGUCUUAACUGGGCGUUAAGUUGCAGGGUAUAGACCCGAAACCCGGUGAUCUAGCCAUGGGCAGGUUGAAGGUUGGGUAACACUAACUGGAGGACCGAACCGACUAAUGUUGAAAAAUUAGCGGAUGACUUGUGGCUGGGGGUGAAAGGCCAAUCAAACCGGGAGAUAGCUGGUUCUCCCCGAAAGCUAUUUAGGUAGCGCCUCGUGAAUUCAUCUCCGGGGGUAGAGCACUGUUUCGGCAAGGGGGUCAUCCCGACUUACCGACCCGAUGCAAACUGCGAAUACCGGAGAAUGUUAUCACGGGAGACACACGGCGGGUGCUAACGUCCGUCGUGAAGAGGGAAACAAC
RNAcentral lists this ribosomal RNA (714 nucleotides) under Shigella sonnei. Its description in RNAcentral is "partial 23S ribosomal RNA". It matches the Rfam family "Bacterial large subunit ribosomal RNA", at positions 307 to 1026 of the family's 2925-position model. The record is from RNAcentral. Lineage: Bacteria; Pseudomonadati; Pseudomonadota; Gammaproteobacteria; Enterobacterales; Enterobacteriaceae.